Molecule: non-coding RNA, 282 nt
Organism: Phascolarctos cinereus (koala)
Lineage: Eukaryota; Metazoa; Chordata; Mammalia; Diprotodontia; Phascolarctidae
Source: RefSeq, a predicted model, not a curated record
GAAGAUCUCAGCCACCAUUCAGCUCUGAUCCGCCUGUACCCAGAGGGAAUCUGGGGGAGGAAGAACCAGGCUAUCAACACCACACCACCCUGACAGCAGCCCAGCUCUGGCAUCCUGGCUCCCCAUCUGGUUCAAAAUCAGAAUAAUGGAGCAUAUGCCCAGAGAGCCAUGGGUUAACCUGCACUUCCAACAUUGUUGGUGAUUGUUCUUCAGUCCCAAACCGAGAACUCCGGAUCUUUCCAAAGAGUGGGGUGUUCUGCUGCCGGCGGAGCCUACAGGGAC